AACGAACGCUGGCGGCAUGCCUAACACAUGCAAGUCGAACGAGACCUUCGGGUCUAGUGGCGCACGGGUGCGUAACACGUGGGAAUCUGCCCUUUGCUUCGGAAUAACAGUUAGAAAUGACUGCUAAUACCGGAUGAUGUCGAAAGACCAAAGAUUUAUCGGCAAAGGAUGAGCCCGCGUAGGAUUAGGUAGUUGGUGGGGUAAAGGCCUACCAAGCCGACGAUCCUUAGCUGGUCUGAGAGGAUGAUCAGCCACACUGGGGCUGAGACACGGCCCAGACUCCUACGGGAGGAAGCAGUGGGGAAUAUUGGACAAUGGGCGAAAGCCUGAGCCAGCAAUGCCGCGUGAGUGAUGAAGGCCUUAGGGUUGUAAAGCUCUUUUACCAGGGAUGAUAAUGACAGUACCUGGAGAAUAAGCUCCGGCUAACUCCGUG
Molecule: ribosomal RNA, 433 nt
Filed under: uncultured bacterium
Lineage: Bacteria
Description: partial 16S ribosomal RNA
Rfam family: Bacterial small subunit ribosomal RNA
Source: RNAcentral